This 476-nucleotide ribosomal RNA is filed under the name uncultured bacterium. Its description in RNAcentral is "bacterial SSU rRNA". It matches the Rfam family "Bacterial small subunit ribosomal RNA", at positions 28 to 507 of the family's 1533-position model. The record is from RNAcentral.
GAUGAACGCUGGCGGCGUGCUUAACACAUGCAAGUCGAACGGAAGUUUUAAAGGAAGUUUCGGAUGGAAUUUUAAAACUUUAGUGGCGGACGGGUGAGUAACGCGUGGGUAACCUGCCGUAUACAGGGGGAUAACACUUAGAAAUAGGUGCUAAUACCGCAUAAGCGCACAGCUUCGCAUGAAGCAGUGUGAAAAGCUCCGACGGUAUACGAUGGACCCGCGUCUGAUUAGCUAGUUGGUGAGGUAGAGGCUCACCAAGGCGACGAUCAGUAGCCGGCCUGAGAGGGUGACCGGCCACAUUGGGACUGAGACACGGCCCAAACUCCUACGGGAGGCAGCAGUGGGGAAUAUUGCACAAUGGGGGAAACCCUGAUGCAGCGACGCCGCGUGAGUGAAGAAGUAUUUCGGUAUGUAAAGCUCUAUCAGCAGGGAAGAAAAUGACGGUACCUGACUAAGAAGCCCCGGCUAACUACGUG